RNAcentral lists this long non-coding RNA (310 nucleotides) under Gossypium raimondii (Peruvian cotton). RNAcentral's name for it is "long non-coding RNA (GRAI_LNC009817)". Lineage: Eukaryota; Viridiplantae; Streptophyta; Magnoliopsida; Malvales; Malvaceae. The record is from RNAcentral.
AUCAAUCUUGCAAAAGUAAGCCAUUCAACCAUAAUUAAUCAAUUGAAAUAAUCAAUUAAGCUAUUAAUUAAACAUAAAUGAGGGUUGUAGUGGCCCAAAUUCAUUUGGCCCAAACAAAACAAAAACCAAAAAAAUAAUAUUAAUAUCAAAGUCCAUUUACAAAAAAAAAAUAGAUUGGCCCAAAUUACAAGCCCAAACCUAAACUAUCCUAACCCAAACCUGCUAAACCCAAUAAUCCAACAACCCAAUGGCCCAAAACCUAAACAUUUUUAGAAACCCUAUCCCCCUCUCGCGCUGCAGCCUCGCCACG